CUGAAUAACUACGCAAAUCGCUUAGGUUUUAAACCGGCGAUGUGUCCUUCAAGUGUCUGCCUUAUCAACUUUCGAUGGUAGUUUCUGUGACUACCAUGGUUGCGACGGGUAACGGAGAAUUAGGGUUCGACUCCGGAGAGGGAGCCUGAGAAACGGCUACCACUUCUAAGGAAGGCAGCAGGCGCGCAAAUUACCCACUCUCGGAAAGAGGAGGUAGUGACGAAAAAUAACGAGAUAACCCGCUCUAGCGAGUUAUCAUCGGAAUGAGUACAAUCUAAAUCCUUUAACGAGGACCUAGCGGAGGGCAAGUCUGGUGCCAGCAGCCGCGGUAAUUCCAGCUCCGCCAGUGUAUAUCUAUGCUGCUGCGGUUAAAAAG
Molecule: ribosomal RNA, 376 nt
Filed under: Nematoda sp.
Lineage: Eukaryota; Metazoa; Nematoda
Description: SSU rRNA
Rfam family: Eukaryotic small subunit ribosomal RNA
Source: RNAcentral